Molecule: ribosomal RNA, 402 nt
Filed under: Bacteroidota bacterium
Lineage: Bacteria; Pseudomonadati; Bacteroidota
Description: Bacteroidetes bacterium partial 16S ribosomal RNA
Rfam family: Bacterial small subunit ribosomal RNA
Source: RNAcentral
UGGGGAAUUUUGCACAAUGGGGGAAACCCUGAUGCAGCGACGCCGCGUGAUUUAGAAGGCCUUCGGGUUGUAAAAAUCUUUUUUACGGGAUGAAAAUGACAGUACCGUAAGAAUAAGGUCCGGCUAAAUACGUGCCAGCAGCCGCGGUAAUACGUAUGGACCGAGCGUUGUCCGGAAUCAUUGGGCGUAAAGGGUACGUAGGCGGCCUAGUAAGUUAGAAGUUAAAGAAUAUAGCUCAACUAUAUAAAGCUUUUAAAACUGCUAGGCUUGAGAGAUGGAAGGGAAAGUGGAAUUCCUAGUGUAGAGGUGAAAUGCGCAGAUAUUAGGAAGAAUACCGGUGGCGAAGGCGACUUUCUGGUCAUCAUCUGACGCUGAGGUACGAAAGCGUGGGUAGCAAACAGG